AAACAAUGCCACCACAUAUUGAUCUUUUCUGCUAACAAUGGCUUUAGUACAAUAUUCCUUUCGAGCCUCAAUUAUCUGUUGGUGAAACAAGAACAAGCAUGUCAAAUUCAAUUUCCUACAUAUGCUUUAAAAGCAGAUUUGAGUGCCAACCUAUCGCACCCUUACCGACUGGCUUCAAGGUUAGUAUAUGUCUCUUAGUAUUUAUGAGAAGAUCAAGGUUAAAGAUGACAGGACAUAUGUCUUCUGAUAAUCAAAAGUGAAAUGGUGUGGAUAGCCGGUGUAUAUUUAAUCAUUGAUAGCCCUAGCUUACUUUAAGAAGGAGGGAUGUAUACAAUGUAUUUAUGAUAACACAUUGCAUUUAUGUUUGUCAAUUGGAUGGAUUCUCUUUAUUUUAGGGUGAAAACAUUCUUAGUUACAAGUGCAAUAUAUAUUAUUAUUCUUGCCCUCGUUAAAUAUGUGACUGCAAAUUUAUUAUUUCUGUAGUAACGCAUUGAUCAGAUCAUAAAAUAGUUUGAGCUUAAUAAAAUUAAGUCUAGUUUCUUGUAGAUUUGAAUGUUCCUACAUGGGGCUGUCUAUCCAUAAAAUUAGUUAAGGUACUCAGUGACGUUCUCAGCUACAGGGAUAUUCUGUGUACUCACUCCUAAAGCACUUAAAAUGCUAAUACAGAUAUAAUGAUUUGCACAUGUACAUUGAUAUAUCUAUAAAAGUAGGGGUAUAGAUAACAGGAACAAAGGAAGAACAGUAG
This is a non-coding RNA of Pelobates cultripes (western spadefoot toad), 745 nucleotides long. The record is from the annotation of a GenBank genome assembly. NCBI's taxonomy places the organism in Eukaryota, Metazoa, Chordata, Amphibia, Anura, Pelobatidae.